CUAAUACAUGCAAGUCGAACGAAACUUUUUUUAUCACCGAGUGCUUGCACUCACCGAUAAAGAGUUGAGUGGCGAACGGGUGAGUAACACGUGGGCAACCUGCCCAAAAGAGGGGGAUAACACUUGGAAACAGGUGCUAAUACCGCAUAACCAUAGUUACCGCAUGGUAACUAUGUAAAAGGUGGCUAUGCUACCGCUUUUGGAUGGGCCCGCGGUGCAUUAGCUGGUUGGUGGGGUAAAGGCUUACCAAGGCAAUGAUGCGUAGCCGAACUGAGAGGUUGAUCGGCCACAUUGGGACUGAGACACGGCCCAAACUCCUACGGGAGGCAGCAGUAGGGAAUCUUCCACAAUGGGCGAAAGCCUGAUGGAGCAACGCCGCGUGGGUGAAGAAGGUCUUCGGAUCGUAAAACCCUGUUGUUAGAGAAGAAAGUGCGUGAGAGUAACUGUUCACGUUUCGACGGUAUCUAACCAGAAAGCCACGGCUAACUACGUGCCAGCAGCCGCGGUAAUACGUAGGUGGCAAGCGUUAUCCGGAUUUAUUGGGCGUAAAGGGAACGCAGGCGGUCUUUUAAGUCUGAUGUGAAAGCCUUCGGCUUAACCGGAGUAGUGCAUUGGAAACUGGGAGACUUGAGUGCAGAAGAGGAGAGUGGAACUCCAUGUGUAGCGGUGAAAUGCGUAGAUAUAUGGAAGAACACCAGUGGCGAAAGCGGCUCUCUGGUCUGUAACUGACGC
This 732-nucleotide ribosomal RNA is filed under the name uncultured Lactobacillus sp. RNAcentral describes it as "bacterial SSU rRNA". It matches the Rfam family "Bacterial small subunit ribosomal RNA", at positions 48 to 746 of the family's 1533-position model. Lineage: Bacteria; Bacillati; Bacillota; Bacilli; Lactobacillales; Lactobacillaceae. The record is from RNAcentral.